Long non-coding RNA from Lolium rigidum, 382 nucleotides. RefSeq lists it as uncharacterized. Lineage: Eukaryota; Viridiplantae; Streptophyta; Magnoliopsida; Poales; Poaceae. The record is from RefSeq and is a predicted model, not a curated record. The transcript has 2 exons.
UGAUAAAUUCGUCAUUAUUUUGCCUUCCCAGAAUUUGAGCCUAGUCUACGGUAAGAUGAUAAUUAGUCAUUAUGUUGCCUUCCCAAAGUAUAGAGCUUUAUUUUUAGGAGAUUUCGAGAAUUUGAGACAUGUCGAAUUUGAUAUAGGUGGUGCUGUCGAUGGAUUGGCCAGAAAUCACCAAAUAUAGAGCUUUCUUUUUAGGAGGAAACCAGAUUUUAUGCCUUUUGUCAGGUUUAUAUUUAGGUUUCCAGUUCUAUAGGUUUCCUAUUUUUGUUUACACGCUGGACAUUUAGGUAAGAUGGUUAUGAUGGCAAUAAACAAAAUGCCUCUGAUUGUAAGAUGGUUAUAUGGUAAGAUGAUUAUGUCUCCGAUUUUUUUUGUC